AACAAAGAAGUAAGAUUUACAUUUAGUUUCGACCUAAAUUUAGGAAAAAAUAACCCAUGUUU
This 62-nucleotide transfer RNA is filed under the name Aguriahana juglandis. RNAcentral's name for it is "tRNA-Arg". Lineage: Eukaryota; Metazoa; Arthropoda; Insecta; Hemiptera; Cicadellidae. The record is from RNAcentral.